Molecule: non-coding RNA, 1440 nt
Organism: Heterocephalus glaber (naked mole-rat)
Lineage: Eukaryota; Metazoa; Chordata; Mammalia; Rodentia; Bathyergidae
Source: RefSeq, a predicted model, not a curated record
CGCCCCGGCGCCAACAAGAGCAUGCCGGAAAGUGUAGUUUUCCGUCCCGCCUUGGCGAAUCGAGCCGCGCGGCUAACAGUGGCAGGUCGAGCCAGGCGUCGCCGAGCCUUCGAACCGUCCAUUCUAGGCCAAGGCCGCUGCUAGCUAAAAGGAUUUCGCGUCCACGUGCGCUGUCUCGGGUCCCCAGAAGCGGUAUGCACUUGGGGCGGAUAGGCGGGCACUGAUCACAGACCGCUUGGGGUGUUCAGAUAUGUGACAGCCUCCGGGAGGUGCACCACCGAGGUGUGUGGGCUUGGCGGUUCUGUUCUGAAGGGCAGCUGUGAUUUGGGGACAUUUCUUUUUUUUUUUUUUUUUGGUACGAGGGAUCGAACUCGGGUCCUUACGCUUACACAGCAGGCGGCGAAACCACUGAGCUAAAUCCCCGGCCCCAGGGACUUUUCAUCUUUAGAAUCAGCCGUACUGAGUAUGAUCUUAUUGUAGUGGCCACCUAUCGGCAAUGAAAUGGAUUAAAACCCUUAAUGGCUGAACUGCAGUUAAAACCCUUAACAAAGGAAUUCCAGUUAAAGAACUUAGGCUGUCAGUAGGCAGUCAUAAAACAGCAACAGACCUUUUGAUAUAGGACCCAUUCAUUCCUCCCAGAGUCCCAACCCAUCUUCUUUAAAAGAUAGGUUCAGGGCCAGGGAUUUAGCUCAGUGGCACCGCGCCUGCCUUGCAAGCGAAAGGUCCUGAGUUUGAUGCCCAGUACAAAAAAAAAAAAAAAGAUAGGUAUAGCCGAGCUUGGUGGCACACACUUGUAAUCCUAGCGCUCAGGAGGCUGAGGCAGGAGGAUUGCCAAGAGUUGGAGGCCAGCCUGAACUAUAUAGUGAGACCCUGUCUCAAAAAACAAAACAAAACAGAAAAGAUAAGUAUAGACCUCCUCAUCAGCUUAUCUAAAGCAAAGGCAUAAGGAAACAGUCUUGUCAAAAUUACAACUGUGAACAACUCAAUAAUGUGCGUCAGUAAGCAUGCUCCCUGAAGAUUUGUAAGGUGCUAAAUGACCCAGGAGAAGGCAUUCUUUAGAUAAUCACACUUGCUGUCUAGACCCUUUUAAAAAAUAUAUAUAUAUUCUUGGGCCGGGGAUUUAGCUCAGUGGUUUCGCCGCCUCCUACGCAAGCGCAAGGACCCAAGUUCGAUCCCCGGUAGCAAAAAACAAAAUAAAACAAGAGAUGAACUGUGUAAUCAGGGUGAGAGAUUAGGGUUUGAGGAUAUAUUUUUACUUCUAUUUUUUUAAAUUUUUUUUUUGGUACCAGGGAUCUAACUUGGGACUUUGCGCUUGCGAGGCAGGUGACAUCACCACUGAGCUAAAUCCCCGGCCCCAGUUCAUCUCUUGAAAAAUUGAAACUCCUCCUCAUCUCCCUUGGUAGCAUGCCUUGAUCUAAAUAAACUUUCCUCUUUUCUACA